Molecule: long non-coding RNA, 19519 nt
Filed under: Triticum aestivum (bread wheat)
Lineage: Eukaryota; Viridiplantae; Streptophyta; Magnoliopsida; Poales; Poaceae
Description: long non-coding RNA (TAES_LNC015696)
Source: RNAcentral
GCUGAUCCGCCAUGAGAUUAGAAAUCUUGGAAUCAAAUAUCUAAACAUCAAUGAGUCGAUCCACCAUAUGCUUACCCGCCUUAAACUCAACAAUUUGAUUGCAGAGACAAAUUUUAUGUGGUUGUACACCUUGUGCUCGCAACCAUUGUGACGGGGCGGAUCUACGUUGUACUGACAUAAUUAAACUAGGAGAGUUGAUUCUUUUAAGAUGCAAGGAAGAAGUGACUUCAAACUUAGAUGGGAUGGUGUCAGAGUCGAGAUUGAAAGUGGAGAACAGGAGGUUUGGGGCGAGAUAUUAGGGGCNNNNNNNNNNNNNNNNNNNNNNNNNNNNNNNNNNNNNNNNNNNNNNNNNNNNNNNNNNNNNNNNNNNNNNNNNNNNNNNNNNNNNNNNNNNNNNNNNNNNNNNNNNNNNNNNNNNNNNNNNNNNNNNNNNNNNNNNNNNNNNNNNNNNNNNNNNNNNNNNNNNNNNNNNNNNNNNNNNNNNNNNNNNNNNNNNNNNNNNNNNNNNNNNNNNNNNNNNNNNNNNNNNNNNNNNNNNNNNNNNNNNNNNNNNNNNNNNNNNNNNNNNNNNNNNNNNNNNNNNNNNNNNNNNNNNNNNNNNNNNNNNNNNNNNNNNNNNNNNNNNNNNNNNNNNNNNNNNNNNNNNNNNNNNNNNNNNNNNNNNNNNNNNNNNNNNNNNNNNNNNNNGUUUUGAGGGAACACUUAGGGUUGAGGGGAGCGGUGAGUCUUUUAUAAUACUCGGUAUGCGGUGGCCCCACCUAGAAGAAGGCAAUGAAGAAUUAUUUUUAUGUGUCGUAUGUCGGCUACAUUGUCAAGAAAACAGUAUGACAUGGCAGUAAGGUGGAAUAUGACAUGAGUUCUUCUUUCGAUUUUUCGACGGGUAGUCUGGUCCAACUUGCCUCAUAUGCAUGAUAAGCUUUACGAUCCUAAGGAACAUAUGACCCAACCAUUAGAAGUGGACGAUGAUGGUGGGGAUUGCAGACUAGGAGGGGAGUAUAAGAUAAUAAUUGCGGGAUGGGCGAUCUAGUGACACCAGUUCACACUAUUUUUCUUUGAAUGGGAAUGGUUGGAGUGUUAUAUUUUGUUAAGAUAUAUGUGAUAUGGUAAGCUUUUCAUUUCAUAGACACCAAGAGUUUACCAUUUCAAAUGGGACAAUCAACCUUCUUUGAAAGACUCCGGAAUCAAUCUAUUAAACUCAUUUGAGAGCUAAAUCAAACAUGUAGAGUUGUUAUAAGUUGUUGAGAAAAUGCAACAUACCAAAAACUUCCAAAAUUUGGAAUGUUAUGAAUUAUUAAUAAGUUAAUUUUCUCUAGGUUUUAGAACAUUUUAGAGGACUUGCUGAAACUUUCUGAGUAGAUGAACGUGGCUCUCUUAUAUAUCCUUGAUGAGAGGUUUACAACCAAGUUCCAACUUUGGUUUUGAGACACUAAAAUUGAAAGUGCUAGUUAUGGACUAGAGGGGGGGGGUGAAUAGGCGAUUUUCCUGAAAGUCUUCAAAACAAGCAAAGUUUUCGAAGACAUACGGUGAAAUAACACCUAAACAUGAUGCAGUGGAAGAUAAACUACACUAGCCAUGCCAUAAUCAAAUAAACAGUAUAGAGAGAAGCACGAAGACAAAUAGCAGCUAGGUAGAACAAAUCAGAAUGGGAAGACAAUAUGAAUCCAAAUACACAAUCAAAGUAGAAUGUAUUCACACAGUGAAUUCAAUGAAAGUAGGCAAGCAAUGACUUCACAAAGCUAAACAGUAAGUAAAGGGUGAAGUGAUAGAACCAAUAGCUUGACGAAGAUAAGGAUUUGGUAGACCAGUUUUAGUUGCUGUGACAACUGUACGUCUGGUUAGGGAGGCUGAGUUUGAACUCAGAAGACCACGUCUUCACCUUAUUCCCCUUGAGUUAAGGUCACCUAGUCCUCGCCCAAUCACUCAGGUAAGUCUUCAAGGUAGACUUCCAAACCUUCACAGACUUCGUUCACUGGCAAUCCACAAUGACUCUUGGAUUGUCGUCGGAAACCACGUCCACCUAUGCAGCCAUGAGCCCCUUUUGGUUUGGUAGGGGGAAUGAGCACGUUGCACAAAGAGUAGAGAACGUCGGGAAGCAUGACAGAGAUCACACGAGCAGUUUUUACCCAAGUUCAGGCCGCCGCAAGGCGUAAAACCCUACUCCUGCUUUGGUGGAUUGAUGGUGGACUGUGGUGGAGAACGCAGUGCUCUUGCCCGACAGGGUUGCCUUGGGGCAGGAGUAGCUACGCACGUAUGAGUGUAAAGGGGUGCGAAUCCUUUCUACGGUUGCCAUGUGCCUCCUUUUAUAGAUCAAGGGGUCACCAUAGUGGCAAAUCAGUCAUGAUGCACUGAUUAGACAGCUAACAGUGCUAUAUACCUAACUCUGCAGAUAGGGCAGAGCGCAUUAAAUGCGCCGCUUAGCAUCACAUCAUGGAAUGCCCAGCAAGCCUUGCCGGGCUGUUUUGCCACCUUCUUGCCUGUCUGCUUGACACGUUGCUGGACGGGUGUCAUUUGGAGGUGUUUUCCGUAGGAAGUGGCUUCCAUGUGGCAGAAAACAACCACUUAGUCACUUGGGGGAUUGACACUGCACCGUUCAAAGACUUGUGUCGCUGUGAGGUGGAGUGGUGGAGCCUUGGCGGGGUGGUUUGCCUUCGUUGUGCCCGGUAAGACUGCUGGGACGACCUUGAUGCUUACUCUUGGGGCCACCUCAACCUCACCUGGCUCGCCUGCCCGGCAAGGGAGGUUUUCUCUUAAUGAUAUCUUGCUUCCUUUGGCUUGACUUGGUCCUCUUGUUCUGCACUCUGACUUGUCAAAUAACUGAUCUCUUGUGCUUGGACUUGUUUUGGUCAUUUCAAUCUUGCUCUUUUAGGCCUGUGCACGGUCUGGGCAACAAACCAAGGGUUUGUUGCACAGACAGAAACCCUCGGGCCUGGCUCGAACGCACUGCCGUGCGUCAUCGGGGUAGGCCCUAACCAGUUCAUAUGCCAUAGGGGAGUAACUAUGCUUCUUCAUUAACCUGUGCCCAGGUCAGUUUCCGGUUCUCCGGCGCAUCGUGUAACACCAAUUUUAGCGGGACCAUUACAACCGUGAAUGACUUUAACGCAUGGGUGAGUAACUGCCAAUUCACUCUUCCCACCACACCCUUAUACUUGGACACAUAUGUUGCAUGCAUUGUGUGGGGUAGGUAGCGGAGGCGCGUGGUGCGGGAGAGCGUCAAGGCAGGGCCCCGACCUUCUUGGAUUGGUGGAGGGAUGGCGGUUACCCACCGGGGAUCUGCCCUUAGUCCAGCCUUGUCUAUAAAAGGAGGGGAGGGGGAGGAGCGGGAGUAUUCAUCUACACACCCCCUCCUCCUUUCAUUGCCUUCUUUCGGUUAUGCCGAAAGGGAGAGCCUGGGGCCAUGCACACCCUGGCCGUCUGGUUCUCUGGCCACUCCUCCAGGGAAGGCGAUGGGCCAGGAGCCCGAUGCCUCCCUAGAGUGGUGGUGAUGGAGAGAAAACGAGGGAAGAUGGAGAAGGCGGGUGGCAGGGCGUCAGGUCGGAGUACGAUGGUACUGAUGCCUUCAUCUCCUACUGGUGACCUGCCGCCUCAGCUUUUCGGUCUUCCCCUCCCUCCCCGACACCAUCAUCACCGGCCUCUUGGCUGUCGGGGAGGGGAUCGGUCUCUGGGUGCCUUCGCCUCCUCCAACAGUCUUCCACCUGAGCUUCGGCGGGUCCUUCCGCCGGCGCCCGUGCUGCGGCUUUUCGCUAGUCCAGUAGGUGGUGACCAGGGCAGCGCCGAGCUGCUCCUCCCGUCCCUCUCCUUCGCAGCCUCACCACUCCCGAUCUUGUCAGGCUGCGCUCGGCAAGCCUCUGACGAGACCGGGUGGGGCGUCCGCUUCUCUUCCCAUCAUAAUACCCAAGGGAGGAGGAACAAGAAGGGGGAUUACGGGGCACUUAUCUUUUUCAAUCUAAAACUUUUAGGCACUUGCCAAAUUUUAGUUCAAAUUAUGUAAUCUCUUUUAUCCAUGUUUGUGUUCUGUAAGAUGUGUACUCAUUGAUCAGCAUAUUAAUGAAAAAGAUAAACCUUGCUGGGUACCUGUGCAUGUAACAUGUCAAUGCAGAGGUGGGAUGCCUCUAUACAUUUAAGUAAACAAGUUUCCCCCGGUAGGCUAUCCUGCCAGUACCCUCAGUUUGUUGCCAUGGGGCUAGGCUUGCCGGGCAGAAAUUGUAAAGAGGGACCAGCCCCCCGCUAAACCCUUUCGUCAGAGGUGGCUGCGACCAUCCUGACCGAAGCAACAUUUGAGUCAAGGGAUUGGAGCACAUAAGUUUUAAAGGCAGCGAGGUUUUCCUAUGCACAAGUCCUGUCUACAGAACACGUAUGGAUAAAAGAUAGAAUUUAUCUGUUUGGCUUGCCGGGUAUCGCAACAUGGGCUCGUCUUCUCUUCUCUUCUUGAGACCAAGUCCACGGCAGGAGCCUGCAAUUUUGUGCAGAUGAAAAUGAUGCCACAUGCAAUCUUAUCUAUGUGAACAUACAUGCUCAUGAUAUGUGAUACGUCUCCAAUGUAUCUAUAAUUUAUGAAGCAUUCAUGCUAUUAUAUUAUCUGUUUUGGAUGUUUAUGGGCUUUAUUAUACACUUUUAUAUUAUUUUUGGGACUAACCUAUUAACCGAAGGCCCAACCCAUAUUGCUGUUUUCUUGCCUAUUUUAGUGUUUCGAAGAAAAGGAAUAUCAAACGGAGCCCAAACGGAAUGAAACCUUCAGGAGCGUUAUUUUUGAAACGGAAGCGAUCCAGGAGACUUGGAGUUGAAGUCAAGGAAGCUUCAAGGUGGCCACAAGGGUGGGGGGCACGCCCCCUACUGGGCGCGCCCCUGUCUCGUGGGCCCCUCGAGGCUCCCCCGACCGACUUCUUUCGCCUAUAUAUUCCCAUAUACCCUAAAACAUCAAAGACAAUAAUAGAUCGGGAGUUCCGCCGCCGCAAGCCUCUGUAGCCACCAAAAACCUCUCGGGAGCCCGUUCCGGCACCCUGCCAGAGGGUGGAUCCCUCACCGGUGGCCAUCUUCAUCAUCCCGGCGCUCUCCAUGACGAGGAGGGAGUAGUUCACCCUCGGGGCUGAGGGUAUGUACCAGUAGCUAUUUGUUUGAUCUCUCUCUCUCUCUCUCGUGUUCUCUCUAUGGCACGAUCUUGAUGUAUCGCGAGCUUUGCUACUAUAUUUGGAUCUUAUGAUGUUUCACCCCCUCUACUCUCUUGUAAUGGAUUGAGUUUUCCCUUUGAAGUUAUCUUGUCGGAUUGAGUCUUUAAGGAUUUGAGAACACUUGAUGUAUGUCUUGCCGUGCUUAUCUAUGGUGACAAUGGGAUAUUCACGUGAUCCACUUGAUGUAUGUUUUGGUGAUCAACUUGCGGGUUCCGCCCAUGAACCUAUGCAUAGGGGUUGGCACAAGUUUUCGUCUUGACUCUCCGGUAGAAACUUUGGGGCACUCUUUGAAGUACUUUGUGUUGGUUGAAUAGAUGAAUCUGAGAUUCUGUGAUGCAUAUCGUAUAAUCAUGCCCAGAGAUACUUGAGGUGACAAUGGAGUAUCUAGGUGACAUUAGGGUCUUGGUUGAUUUGUGUCUUAAGGUGUUAUUCUAGUAUGAACUCUAUGAUAGAUUGAACGGAAAUAAUAGCUUCAUGUUAUUUUACUACGGACUCUUGAAUAGAUAGAGCAGAAAUGAUAACUUUGAGGUGGUUUCGUACCCUACCAUAAUCUCUUCGUUUGUUCUCCGCUAUUAGUGGCUUUGGAGUGACUCUUUGUUGCACGUUGAGGGAUAGUUAUAUGAUCCAAUUAUGUUAUUAUUGUUGAGAGAACUUGCACUAGUGAAAGUAUGAACCCUACCCUUGUUUCCUACCAUUGCAAUAUCGUUUACGCUUACUUUUAUCAUUAGUUAUCUUGCUGUUUUUAUAUUUUCAGAUUACAAAAAUCUAUAUCUAGUAUCCAUAUUGCACUUGUAUCACCAUCUCUUCGCCGAACUAGUGCACCUAUACAAUUUACCAUUUUAUUGGGUGUGUUGGGGACACAAGAGACUCUUUGUUAUUUGGUUGCAGGGUUGCUUGAGAGAGACCAUCUUCAUCGUACACCUCCCACGGAUUGAUAAACCUUAGGUCAUCCACUUGAGGGAAAUUUGCUACUGUCCUACAAACCUCUACACUUGGAGGCCCAACAACGUCUACAAGAAGAAGGUUGUGUAGUAGACAUCAAGCUCUUUUCUGACGCCGUUGCCGGGGAGGUGAGUGCUUGAAGGUAUAUCUUUAGAUCUUGUAAUCGAAUCUUUUUGUUUCUUGUUUUAUCACUAGUUUAGUCUAUAAAAGAAAGAAAUGGAAUUGAGUUUGUCUCAUACACUUCAUCUUUUUAGUAUCUUUCGUAAGUAUGAUGAAAAGGAAAAUUGUGCUCAAGUUCUAGAAGAAGAAGUCUAUAAAAUGUUUGAUACUAAAUCUUUGAAUGAUGAGCAUGAUUGCAAUGCUGUUAGUAUGAAUUCCUUGAAUAUUCAUGAUGCUAAUGAUAUGCAAAGCCACAAGCUUGGGGAUGCUAUGUUUGAUGAAGAUGAUAUGUUUAGUCCCCCAAGUUUUGACGAGAAUAUUUAUUAUGAUGAUAGCAUGCCUCUUACCUAUGAUGAUUAUAUUGAUCAAAGUGGGUUUGGAAGAGUGUCAACUUUAGGAAGUAAUGAUCCCACUAUUUUGUAGGAUGUGAAUCUUAUUGUGAUGAAUAUGAAAGUGGAUUUGGAAGAGUGUCAACUUUAUUUAGUGAUGAUUCCACUAUUUUGGAAGAGGUUUCAAUUGAUUAUGAUGAGAACCAAAUUGCUACUUAUGAUGAUUAUUGUGAUGAAACUUAUGCUAUAAAAAGUAGUGAUGAUUAUAUUUAUAAAACUUGUCAUGAUUAUGAUUACCCUUUUCUGAACAUUACUCUUUUAUUGUGGAAACAAUUUUUAGUAUUCAAGUCUCUUAUGAUACUCUCACUAUUUCGAAUGAGAAGAAUUUUGCUUAUGUGGAGAGUAGUAAAUUUUAUAUGCUUGUAGAUCAUGAAAAGAAUGCUUUAGGUGCUGGUUAUAUUGUUGAAUUCAUUCAUGAUGCUACUGAAAAUUAUUAUGAGGGAGGAACAUAUGCUUGUAGGAAUUGCAAUAAUGUCAAGUUUCCCCUCCACGUGUUGAAUAUCUUGAAGCUAUGCUUGUUUUGCCUUCCUAUGCUAGUUGAUCAUUGUUCCCAUAAAUUGUUUGCUCAAAAAAUUCCUAUGCAUAGGAAGUGGGUUAGACUUAAAUGUGUUAGCAUAUUCUUCAUGAUGCUCUCUUUAUGUUUCAAUUCUUAUCUUUUAUGUGAGCAUCAUUGUCAUCAUCAUGCCUAGCUAAAAAGGCAUUAAAGAAAAGCGCUUGUUGGGAGACAACCCAAUAUUUAUCCUUACUGUUUUUGUGUGUCCACAUGAUUAUGCUACUGUAGUAAUCAUGUUUUAUAGCUUUUGUUUCAAUAAAGUGCCAAGUAAGACCUUUAGGAUAGCUUACGGUGAUACUUGUGUUGAUCCUGCUGAAAAUCAGAAACUUUUGCAUCCAGUAAAUUAGUUUUGAUAAUUAACAGAAACGUGCUUUUGAUCUGAUUCUUUUUGCUCUGGAUUGGUACACAAAUUGCUUAGGACUUCCUAAUGUGGUAGAAUUUUUGGAGUUCCAGAAGUAUACGCUUGAUACAGAUUACUACAGACUGUUCUGUUUUUGACACAUUCUGUUUUCUAUGUGUUGUUUGCUUAUUUUGAUGAAUCUAUGAGUAGUAUCGAAGGGUAUGAACCAUAGAUAAGUUGGAGUAAAGUAGAUAUUACACCAAUAUAAAUGUAGAAUGAGUUCACUACAGUACCUAAGUGGUGGUUUUAUUUUCUUAUACUAACGGAGCUUACGAGUUUUCUGUUGAGUUUUGUGUUGUGAAGUUUUCAAGUUUUGGGUAAAGAUUCGAUGGACUAUGGAAUAAGGAGUGGUAAGAGCCUAAGCUUGGGGAUUCCCAAGGCACCCCAAGUUAAUAUUUAAGGACAACCAAGAUCCUAAGCUUGGGGAUGCCCCGGAAGGCAUCCCCUCUUUCGUCUUCGUUCAUCGGUAACUUUACUUGGAGCUAUAUUUUUAUUCACCACAUGAUAUGUGUUUUGCUUGGAGCAUCAUUUUAUUUUGUUAGUAUUUGUUGCUGUUAUUUAUAAUAAUGUUUUGCAUCUUUAGUUUCAAUAAAAAUGUCAAGGAUAGCCUUUACCAUGCUUAUUUUGCUAGUAUACAUGUUGCUGUUUGAAAACAGAAAGUUUACCACUGUUGGAAAAAUUCCCUAGAAAAGUCAGAGAAUGGUAUAAUGUUGAAACAUUUUGCAUAAUGAGAUCUGAUAAAUCUUCUACAGCGUAUAUUUUUCUCAUAAUUUUUGGAGUUAGGGAAGUAUGAUGAAUCUUGCAUUCUUUACAGACUGUACUGUUUUGGCAGAUUGCUGUUAUGUUUGCAUUAUUUGCAUAUGUUUGCUUGUUUAAUGAUUCUAUUUGAGGAUAGGAGUAUUAAAUAUGCAGAGAAAUUUAGUAUGCAAUGUGUAACAAUAAUUUUAGUGAUUUGUUACAGUAGACAAUGAUAAGGUUUUGCAUUGGUUUAUACUAACUUAUCUCACGAGUUAUUGUUGAGUUUGGUGCGGAUGAAGCUUUCGAGAUUUAGGAAACCGAGAUAUAAAAGGAAUUAAGGAGACACAAAAGCUCAAGCUUGGGGAUGCCCAAGGCACCCCAAGAUAAUAUUUCAAGAAGUCUCUAGCAUCCAAGCUUGGGGAUGCCCCGGUAGGCAUCCCACCUUUUUUCUUCAACAACUAUCGGUUAGUAUCGGUUGAGCCUAAGUUUUUGCUUCUUCACAUGAGUUGUGCCAUCCUUGCAAUGUCAUUGUAUUUUGCUUUGCUUGCUGUUUGAAUAAAAUACCAAGAUCUGAAAUUCUUAAAUGAGAGGGAGUCUUCACAUAGUUACACAAUUAUUUAGCUACUCAUUGAUCUUCACUUAUAUCUUUUUGGAGUAGUUUGUCAUUUACUCGUGUGCUUCACUUAUAUCCUAUGAGUAAAUGGUUGAAUGAGUUGAAUGUCAUAAAUCUGAAAUUAUAUAUGUUUCAUUUGCUUAUCCCAUGGGGAGUAAUGACUUCACAUCUAAGAAGUAGAGGUUGUAAAUUUAUUGAAGGUUAGCAAGCAUUGUAUUGGUCAUUUGAACAAUUCAUGAAAGAAUAUUGAAGGAAGAGAAAUUUCACAUAUAAAUAUACUAUCUUGGACUUCUUUUAUAAUUGUGAGCACUCAUUAAGUAUGACAUGCUAAAGAGUUGAUGUUGGACAAGGAAGACAAUGUAAUGGGUUAUGUUUUCUCACAUCUCAAUUAAAGUAUAUUGUCAUGGAUCAUUCAAACAUGUUGAGCUUUCCGUUCCCCCUCAUGCUAGCCAAAAUUCCUUGCACCAAGUAGAGAUACUACUUAUGCUUCCAAAUAUCCUUAAACCCAGUUUUUGCCAUGAGAGUCCACCAUACCUACCUAUGGAUUGAGUAAGAUCCUUCAAGUAAGUUAUCAUGUUGCAAGCAAUAAAAAUUGCUCUCUAAAUAUGUAUGACUUAUUAGUGCGGAUAAAAUAAGCUUUAUACGAUCGUGUGAUAUGGAAGUAAUAAAAGCGACAGACUGCAUAAUAAAGGUUCAUAUCACAAGUGGCAAUAUAAAGUGAAGUUCUUUUGCAUUAAGAUUUUGUGCAUCCAACCCUAAAAGCACAUGACAACCUCUGCUUCCCUCUGCGAAUGGCCUAUCUUUUACCUUAUGUCUUUUACUUUAUGCAAGAGUCAAGGUGAUCUUCACCUUUCCCUUUUUCAUUUUAUCCUUUGGCAAGCACCUCGUGUUGGAAAGAUCCUGAUAUAUAUAUAUCCAAUUGGAUGUAAGUUAGCAUGAACUAUUAUUGUUGACAUCACCCAAAGGUGAAUACGUUGGGAGGCAACACUAUAAGCCCCUAUCUUUCUCAGUGUCCGAUUAAAAUUCCAUAACCAUAAGUAUUGCGUGAGUGUUAGCAAUUGUAGAAUACUAUAUGAUAGUUGAGUAUGUGGAGUUUGCUAAAUCAAAGCUCUGACAUAGACCCUUCUUGAAAAUAAGAUGAAUUGCAAUUGUUUGAUGACUGAGAACAUAUUUUGCUAGUUUUUAAGAAAGUUUAUGGUCUAUGCUUUAAUAUGUGAAUAGCUUGUUACUUGAUCUUGAGAAGUUUUAUGAGAUGAACUACUAUUAUGACAUAUAAUCAUGCUAUAAAGGUGAUUGAAAUUAUCAUUGAUCAAACUUUUGCACCUGCUAGCAUUCACACUUCAUAAAUUCUUUCUUUUAUCAUUUACCUACUCGAGGACGAGCAUGAAUUAAGCUUGGGGAUGCUGAUACGUCUCCAACAUAUCUAUAAUUUAUGAAGCAUUAAUGCUAUUAUAUUAUCUGUUUUGGAUGUUUAUGGGCUUUAUUAUGCACUUUUAUAUUAUUUUUGGGACUAACUUAUUAACCGGAGGCCCAUCCCAUACUGCUGUUUUCUUGCCUAUUUCAGUGUUUCGAAGAAAAGGAAUAUCAAACAGAGUCCAAACGGAAUGAAACCUUCGGGAGCGUUAUUUUUGGAACGGAAGCGAUCCAGGAGACUUGGAGUUGAAGUCAAGGAAGCUUCGAGGUGGCCGCGAGGGUGGGGGCGCGCCCCCUACUAGGCGCGCCCCCUGUCUCAUGGGCCCCUCGAGGCUCCCCCGACCGACUUCUUUCGCCUAUAUAUUCCCAUAUACCCUAAAAACAUCAAAGACAACAAUAGGUCGGGAGUUCCGCCGUCGCAAGCCUCUAUAGCCACCAAAAACCUCUCGGGAGCCCGUUCCGGCACCCUGCCAGAGGGGGGAUUCCCCACCAGUGGCCAUCUUCAUCAUCCCGGCACUCUCCAUGACGAGGAGGGAGUAGUUCACCCUUGGGGCUGAGGGUAUGUACCAGUAGCUAUGUGUUUGAUCUCUCGCUCUCUCUCUCUCUCUCUCUCUCUCUCUCUCGUGUUCUCUCUAUGGCACGAUCUUGAUGUAUCACGAGCUUUGCUACUAUAUUUGGAUCUUAUGAUGUUUCUCCCCCUCUACUCUCUUGUAAUGGAUUGAGUUUUCUCUUUGAAGUUAUCUUAUCGGAUUGCGUCUUUAAGGAUUUGAGAACACUUGAUGUAUGUCUUGCCAUGCUUAUCUGUGGUGACAAUGGGAUAUUUACGUGAUCCACUUGAUGUAUGUUUUGGUGAUCAACUUGCGGGUUCCGCCCAUGAACCUAUGCAUAGGGGUUGGCACACAUUUCCGUCUUGACUCUCCGGUAGAAACUUUGGGGCACUCUUUGAAGUACUUUGUGUUGGUUGAAUAGAUGAAUCUGAGAUUGUGUGAUGCAUAUCGUAUAAUCAUGCCCACGGAUACUCGAGGUGACAAUGGAGUAUCUAGGUGACAUUAGGGUUUUGGUUGAUUUGUGUCUUAAGGUGUUAUUCUAGUAUGAAAUCUAUGAUAGAUUCAACGGAAAUAAUAGCUUCAUGUUAUUUUACUACGGACUCUUGAAUAGAUAGAGCAGAAAGGAUAACUUUGAGGUGGUUUCGUACCCUACCAUAAUCUCUUCGUUUGUUCUCCGCUAUUAGUGGCUUUGGAGUGACUCUUUAUUGCAUGUUGAGGAAUAGUUAUAUGAUCCAAUUAUGUUAUUAUUGUUGAGAGAACUUUCACUAGUGAAAGUAUGAACCCUAGGCCUUGUUUCCUACCAUUGCAAUACCGUUUACGCUUACUUUUUUCAUUAGUUACCUUGCUAUUUUUAUAUUUUCAGAUUACAAAAACCUAUAUCUACUAUCCGUAUUGCACUUGUAUCACCAUCUCUUCGCCGAACUAGUGCACCUAUACAAUUUACCAUUGUAUUGGGUGUGUUGGGGACACAAGAGACUCUUUGUUAUUUGGUUGCAGGGGUGCUUGAGAGAGACCAUCUUCAUCCUAUGCCUCCCACGGAUUGAUAAACCUUAGGUCAUCCACUUGAGGGAAAUUUGCUACUGUCCUACAAACCUCUGCACUUGGAGGCCCAACAACGUCUACAAGAAGAAGGUUGUGUAGUAGACAUCAAUAUGCUUAUGCAUGCAUGCAAUUUGUUGGGUGCCCCCAGCGCUUCAUUUUUUUCUCUGUUGCUCAGGGUCUACAUCUGGCUUUGUACAAGGGGUUACAUGCAAAUGAGGCAAGGCCUGUACAAAAGGGUGGCUGCCGGGAAGGGCCCGACUGCUGUGCCUUACGGGUAGAACUUGCGGAGAUGCUCAACGUUCCAUGAGUUUUGUGAUUUUGUGCCAUCUCCAGUCUCCAGACGGACUGUGGCAGGUCUGGUGACUCGUACUACCCGGUAAGGGCCUUCCCACUUUGGCGUCAACUUGUUUGCACCUUUGGCGGACUGAACCCGCCUAAGGACAAGGUCGCCGUCCUCAAAACACUGGGCAUGAACCCUGCGGCUGUGAUAGCAACGUAGGGCUUGUUGAUAGCGUGCAACACGCGUAGCAGCCCGGAGACGGUUCUCCUCGAGUAGCACAGCAUCGUCACACCAAUGCUGUUCCUGCGCUACUUCAUCGUAGGCAAGCACUCAAGGUGACCCGUAAAUGAGUUCCGUGGGGAUAACUGCUUCUGCCCCGUAUACCAGGGAGAAGGGAGUCUGCCCAAUAGCUCGAUUUAGUGUCGUUCUAAGGGACCAAAUAACCACCAGCAGCUCGUCGGUCCACCGCCUGCCACACUUCUGCAGCUUAUCAAAUGUUCUCGUCUUGAGUCCCCGCAACACUUCAGCAUUCGCCCUCUUAGCUUAUCCGAUGCUCUUUGGGUGAGCAACAGAGGCGAACGAGAUCUUGGUUCCGAGGGCAUGAACGUAUUGCAUGAAGGAGCGGCUCGUGAAUUGGGUGCCAUUGUUAGUGAUGAUCCGAGCUGGGACUUCGAAGCGGCACACAAUCCUUUCAAGAACUCGAUAGCUAACUGAGGAGUCACCUUUUUCACGGGCUCUACUUCCGGCCACUUUGUAAACUUGUCGAUUGCAAUGAACAAGAAUUCAAAACCCCCGACAACAUGACAAAGGGAUUAUCUGAAGAGCUUGGGCAUGCAGGUGGAUAUUCUUGGAAUGGAACUAGCAGGCUUCAUGUGACCAACUCAACUGCAUCUUGGAGGGCUGUGGGCCAGUAAAAUCCUUGCCGGAAGGCCUUCCCAACCAGAGCCCUCGAUCCGAUGUGUGAGCCGCACAUGCCCUUAUGUAUUUGUGCCAGCAGUUCCUUUCCUUCUUCCCGGCAAAUGCACUUCAAUUUCACACUGUUGGGCCUUCUUCUAUACAACGUGUCAUCCUUGAGCGAGAUUGAUUUGAAACUGAAAUUUUACAUGUUUGCAGAACAUCAAACUGUCCAACACACUGUAUUUUUUUCCUGAAUUUUUGAGAGAUUGUUUCCAGCAGCUAUCUGUUGCUACUUGCAAUUGUUACUAAAAAGCUAAGCGUUUGGAGCUAGGAGUUAUCUAAGCAUUUCAGAACUCAUACUCAUCAGAUGUGUGCAAUAUGACCAUGAAACAUUCACAACUGUAUUAUCACAAAGCAUAAUCCAAUUACAAAAGCAAAUAACUUGACCACACCCAGGGUCCAUCCAUCAUCCAAUUAGACUAAAAAGUUCAACAACAAGAUAGGAGCGAAAGGCUAAGCAAUUGGAAACAGUAGAGAAAACUAAGCAUUUGGAGGUGGGGAGCGAAAGGCUAAGAAUUUAAGCUGGUUGGCAUUUGAAAUGGCAAGCGACACUCUAGUUUGAUGGGCUUGCUGGACCACUAGAGGACCCACUCGCAGAAUCACUCAAUUCAGUAGCACCUAGAGUUCCACCAGCCACAUCCUGUUUGAUCUCCUCUUUUUCAUCAGCUGCAAACCUUCCAAUGACCACCUGCACAUCAGUACAACAAAAUGCAAACCAUUAAGAGAAAGCACAAGGUUCUCAAUUGCAAUAUAUGUGUGUUCUCGUGAAACGAUGCUAUUUCCCAAACAAGCUAUGUACCAUAAAAAGAAGCACAUCAUGAUUUUCAGAAGGAAUAUUAAUACUUACAAUGUAAAUCAUUUGGCAGCACACAUUUUGUUUUCGAAACGUAGGAAGCACAUAUAGACUUAAGAAAUGCUUAAACAAACAGAGCAAGAUACAAUGGAAGCUAUUGGUAUAUAUGGAACAAAGAUCUUAGUUGGUCUUUUUGUAAUCUGCUAUUGGUAUAUAUGGAGCAAGAUACAAGUGAAAGAUGGUAACCUGAACAGGUGAUGCUGCAAUCAGAGGUCCUGCUAACCCACCGCCGAAGAUGCGGCCAUCAGCACCGACAAGCGAAAUGGCGAACCAACCCUUUAGAGAGCUCACUCCAUUAGUUUUUGACGGCAGAUACGAGCCGGUCAUAGAGAUAAUGUCAAAACAAUCCUGCAUAUUACAUGCUAAGGAUUAGAUAUUGUUUAAAGUUGGUAACAAAUCUAGAGGCCAAACAACGAUAUCAUUUUUAGAAGACCAGAACUACAAAACACUAUGUUUCCCUUGCGAUAUUUCCUAUGUUGGUAAAGAAAACAAUUCAACCUCAUAGCUCCCUGAACUGCACAUUUUUUGCAUGCUUCACUUUUUGUUAUUGCUGAAUUUGUUUUUCUCAUAGCUCCCUGAGCGAGAUUGAUUUGAAACUGAAAUUUUACAUGUUUGCAGAACAUCAAACUGUCCAACACACUGUAUUUUUUUUAGAAUUUUUGAGAGAUCAUUUCCAGGAGAUAGUUUCUCUGGACUUAUGAGCAGUCAUCAGUUGCUACCUGCAAUUGAUACUGAAAAAGCUAAGUGUUUGGAGCUAGGAGUUAUCUAAGCAUUUCAGAACUGAUACACAUCAGAUGUGUAGGAGUUACCUAAGCAUUUCAGAACCGGUAAUCAUCAGAUGUGUGCAAUAUGACCAUGAAAUGUUUCAUUAACUAUAAUAUCAUGAAGCAUCAUCCAGUUACAGAAAACAUAACUUGACCACAUCGAGGGGCCAUACAUCAUAUAACGAGACUGAAAAGUUCAACAAGUACGAGCAGAAAGCUAAGCAUUUGGAAAUAAUAGCAGGAAUGAAAAGCUAGGAAUUUAAGCUGGCUGGCAUCUGGAAAUAGGAAGCUGGUGUUGAAUGUGCGAGCGGCACUCUAGUUUGAUGGGCUUGCUGGACCACUAGAGGAUCCAGUCGCAGAAUCACUCGAUUCAGUAGCACCUGGAGUUCCACUGGCCACAUCCUGUUUCAUCUCCUCUUUUUCAUCAGCUGCAAACCUUCCAAUGACCACCUGCGCAUCAGCACAACAAAAUGCAAACCAUUAAGAGAAAGCACAAGGUUCUCAAUUGCAAUAUGUGCGUUUUUCGUGAAACGAUGCUAUUUCCUGAACAAGCUAUGUACCAUAAAAAGGAAGCACAUCAUGAUUUUCAGUAGGAAUGUUAAUACGCAUAAUAAUGCAAAUCAUUUGGCAGCAGACAUUUUGUUUUCGAAACAUAGGAAGCACAUAUAGACUUAAAAAAUACUUACACAAAUAGAGCAAGAUACAAUGGAAACUAUUGGUUAUAUAUGGAACAAAGAUCUUAGUUGGUCGUUUGGUAAUCUGCUAUUGGUAUAUAUGGAGCAAGAUACAAGUGAAAGAUGGUAACCUGAACAGGUGACGCUGCAAUCAGAGGUCCGGCUAACCCACCACCGAAGAUGCGGCCAUCAGCACCGACAAGCGAAAUAGCGAACCCACCUUUUAGAGUGCUAACUCCAUCAGUUUUUGACGGCAGAUACGAGCCGGUCAUAGAGACAAUGUCAAAACAACCCUGCAUAUUACAUGCUAAGGAUUAGAUAUUUUUUAAAGUUGGUAACAAAUCUAUAGGCCAAACAACGAUAUCAUUUUUAGAAGACCAGAACUACAAAACGCUAUAUUUCCCUUGCGAUAUUCCCUAUGUUGGUAAAGAAAACAAUUCAAUCUCUCUAACUACUAUCUCACAUUUCAUUUUACUUUUAUAAUUCUCUUAAUUUGGUUGAAGCUGAACUUUUAUUUUGAAAACAUGCCAGAGAAAAGGGAUUUCUAGUGUACAGAUUCCAAGCUAAAACAAUAGAGCAAACCUCAUGAAUAACUAUUUCAAGGGGAGAAGCUGGUUGAUGCAGUGUCACGUUGGAAACGGCGCCCUCGGCAGAUAUGAUAAAAAAUGCCCAACCAUUCCCACCAUACGACUUGACUUCCAUUGCUACAUCCUGAAACCAUGGGUUCCUUAUUAGAAUUUUACAAUAUAUGCAUAUAUGGGGUGGAAUAGAGAACUUAUCAAAAAGAUGCGAAAGACAAUAAAAAACGGGAAAAGAGAAGGACAACACCAAGCUCUCUUCAACACAUUGUAGGAUGGAUAUAGACAUAACCAGUUGAAAAAAUGUGCUGAAUAAUAAAUCAAGAAAGAGACAAAUGUUAUCUCCAAAUUUUACACAAAUAAGCAUUGCUAUCCCGAUAUUUUUUCUCCGUUUCUGGUCCGAGUCCGAUCCGGAUCCGGUCAUUAUCCAGUCCGCUUCGAAUCCAAAAAAAAUAAAUAUGGUAAAGGAUAUGGGGAAAUCAUUACUAAUCCGAUCCGAUCCGUUUNNNNNNNNNNNNNNNNNNNNNNNNNNNNNNNNNNNNNNNNNNNNNNNNNNNNNNNNNNNNNNNNNNNNNNNNNNNNNNNNNNNNNNNNNNNNNNNNNNNNNNNNNNNNNNNNNNNNNNNNNNNNNNNNNNNNNNNNNNNNNNNNNNNNNNNNNNNNNNNNNNNNNNNNNNNNNNNNNNNNNNNNNNNNNNNNNNNNNNNNNNNNNNNNNNNNNNNNNNNNNNNNNNNNNNNNNNNNNNNNNNNNNNNNNNNNNNNNNNNNNNNNNNNNNNNNNNNNUAAAAAUAUAUAUCAAGUGCAAGUCAUUUCAAUAUAAAUAUGUACAACACACAUAGCGUUAAUUAGAGGCAACUUUGCUCAAUUUUUUUCUAAUAUUUAACACUAAAUACAUCCACAAAAUAAACUUUAUAUUUUUCUAAAAGGAACCACCUUCAAUUGGACAUUCUAAUAUCUAGUAUCCAGAUACUACAACGAAAUAUUAAUAGAGCACUGAAUGUCUCUAGGAGCAUUAUAAGAGUAGGAAAAUUUUACCUGUCCACCUUGAACUGUGAUGAUUUGAGGAACUAUUUCAGCCGCACAUGGCUCUGCCAGAUAAAAAAUCCAUUUCAAAUUAGAAUUUUUUUGGGAAGUAUAUUGUAAUUAAUGCUGGCAAACUGAUGAUAGCACUCAUGUGCAUGCGCCUAUAAACAGUACUACAUGAUAUGAAAUAAACAAACAUCCUAGAAAUAUAAUUUCAAAGCUUCAAGGAAUACGCCGGGUGGCUCAGAGCUCGUGUAGCGCCAUUGCGACCAUUGCAAGCUGCGGGACACGAUGAACAUGUUGCACGAGUAGGAAGAGCUACCUUGUUCAGCAUCGGCCAGGCGGGCGCCGACGGUGGGUUGUGGCUGUGGAUGAAGUGGACUCUUGGGCAAUCCAGCGCCAUAGGCCGCCUUGCCCGCACCCGCCGGGACGGCUCCUCCUUCCAUUGCCUUACGAGCACAACAAACACACAGACACAAACAAAAGGAAACCCUCACUUGUUUUACUGGUAACUCGAUGCCUGGAAAUGCACAAACCCAGGUCUUUUUAUAGGGCAGUGGGUGGGAUGCGAUUUUGACUUGGGUAUUCUUUGGGGUGCCUUUAGAUUCAUUAAUUACUUGCUUCCUUUUGGUUCUAGGAGGAUGUAUUUUUUGGAAAUUUCUUGAUUGGUCAUUGUGGAUGUGUUCAGAACUUCAGAUGAUGAGCUAGGUUAUUUUCUUCCUAUUUUUUGGAUUUUCAAACGCAAACAUGACAGAACUAUAAAUGAAAAAUCUAAAGUUGGCAAAACAAUUAAUGAAACUCCAAAGAUGGCACAUCAGUACUAAAUGAAAUCCCAAAGAUGGAUAACAAUAAAUGAGAAAAAAAUCCAAAGAUAACCCUAUCUUUGGAUUUUCAUUCAUUGUUUGCCAUAUUUAGAUUUUCAUUUAUUACUUGCUAUCUUUGGAUUUUGAUUUAUUGCUAUGCCAUUUUUUGAAUUUCAUUUAUGUUGUGCGAUAUUUGGACUUUUCAUUUAUUAUUAUGCCAAAUUUGGAUUUUCAUUUAUUAUUAUGACAUUUUUGGAUUUUUAAUUGUUGUUGUGGACUUUGGAUUUUUAUGGGCAUUCCUCCGCUUGAGUCUACCAAUUGCUAUCUUUUCAAGUGGGCCGUGUUUCGAUUUACAAUGCGUGAAUGAUAUGUUAGAGGGGUGGGUUUACCAUCCACUCAAGCCGACUUUAUACAUGACAUGGUUUAGGUUCUAAAUGAACAGAAUUUUUCGUAGUAAUCGUGUAUCUUCAUUACCAACUAACAAGUGCACACAAAACACACUAAAGACUACUAGAGACCGAGAGAAGGCAUGCGAAUUGGAUUUUUUCCAGCAAAGCCCCCACAAAAUAGAAAAAUAAUAUCAGGUGCUUUAGGGGUCGUUGCACACACCACAAGUCCACGACCAUGGUCUGCCAACAACCAAUCACAACCGAGGUGCUCAUUGGAAGAGAAACCAAGCCUCCACUGCCAAAACUGAGGAAUUGCUAUCACUAGAGAGAAUUUGAAAGACCAAGAAUACACAUGUUGCAAGUAGUGAGGCACAUUGGUUGUGGAACAAUCCCACGUUGACUUGGGCUUAGAUCUAUCUAUAUAUCGGCCCAAUGAUAUUCUGGAAGAACGCUAGAUUUGCCAACUUUGAACCACCAUCGCUCCAAAGCCACUAUUGAUUUCCUCUCGGUUGCUUGCCUCCGAGAGGCAACAAAUUCCAUCAACAAACUGAAAAACAAAUCUCGCUACCUAAUAGUACGAUGAGCCCACUAGGCCACCAGAUCUUUCAAGUCACCAUCGUGGGAGCGUUGGAUGCGCUGGGGGGGGGGAUUCACGUUUUCAACCGAAUUUUCUAGAUAGAAGGGGAGAGAGUGAAAUAAAGACCUGAAAACAUAAGAAUUGGAUCGAGUAGGUGUUCUAAUGCUAGAAAAAAAACUACUCCAUCGGUCAAUGACCUUACUCUUCACUACCUCCAUGACAGGUCGUUGCAAUAUUCCACAAUACAAAUAAAGAGAUGCAAAAGAGUAAGGAUCUCACCAAGUUUAUAAUGUUGCCGAAGAUAUUGGAGGUGGCACCCUUCGUUAAUUUCGUAAUAUGAUCAUUGGUGAGAUGAUCCGCCAUGAGAUUAGCAAUCUCUGAAUCAAAUAUCUAAUCAUUAAUGAGUUGAUCCACCAUGCGCUUGUCCGCCCUUGAACUCAACAAUUUGAUUGCAGAGACAAUGUUUUAUGUGGUUGUCCACCUUGUGCUCACAACCAUUAUGACGGGUGGAUCUACGUUGUACUGACAUAGUUAAACUAGGAGAGUGGAUUCUUUUGAGAUGCAAGGAAGAAGUGACUUCGUCGGAACUUAGAUAGGGAUGGAGGUGGUGUUAGAGUCGAGAUUGAAAGUGGAGAACAGAAGGUUUGUGGCGAGACAUUAG